GGAGAGUUGGCAGAGUGGUCGAAUGCGGCUGUCUUGAAAACUGUUGAGGGUCACACCUCCAGGGGUUCGAAUCCCUUACUCUCCG
This 85-nucleotide transfer RNA is filed under the name Flavobacteriaceae bacterium. Its description in RNAcentral is "tRNA-Ser". It matches the Rfam family "tRNA". From Rfam's summary of the family: Transfer RNA (tRNA) molecules are approximately 80 nucleotides in length. Lineage: Bacteria; Pseudomonadati; Bacteroidota; Flavobacteriia; Flavobacteriales; Flavobacteriaceae. The record is from RNAcentral.